Molecule: ribosomal RNA, 519 nt
Filed under: uncultured Oscillibacter sp.
Lineage: Bacteria; Bacillati; Bacillota; Clostridia; Eubacteriales; Oscillospiraceae
Description: bacterial SSU rRNA
Rfam family: Bacterial small subunit ribosomal RNA
Source: RNAcentral
CGGUAGUCGUCAGAGAGUUUCGAUCCUACGGCUACGAGGACGAACGCUGGCGGCGUGCUUAACACAUGCAAGUCGAACGGAGUGCCCCUGAAAGAGUUUUCGGACAAUGGGAUGGGAACACUUAGUGGCGGACUGGUGAGUAACGCGUGAGGAACCUGCCUUCCAGAGGGGGACAACAGUUGGAAACGACUGCUAAUACCGCAUGAUACAUUUGAAUCGCAUGGUUUGAAUGUCAAAGAUUUAUCGCUGGAAGAUGGCCUCGCGUCUGAUUAGCUAGUUGGUGAGGUAACGGCCCACCAAGGCGACGAUCAGUAGCCGGACUGAGAGGUUGGCCGGCCACAUUGGGACUGAGAUACGGCCCAGACUCCUACGGGAGGCAGCAGUGGGGAAUAUUGGGCAAUGGACGCAAGUCUGACCCAGCAACGCCGCGUGAAGGAAGAAGGCUUUCGGGUUGUAAACUUCUUUUAAGGGGAAGAGCAGAAGACGGUACCCCUUGAAUAAGCCACGGCUAACUACGUG